UCUUCAACAAUCAGUUUUUUCUGAUUAAUGGUCAGUUUUUCGGUGCAUUAACUCUCGAUAUAAAAGGAGAAAGGAUUGUGAGUGCAUACCCAGUGCUACCAUGGAUUACGGUGCUGCUAUACCGUGCCAUCAAACAUGGUAGCUCUUAAACUAGUGCAUGAAAGAUUUAUCUAAAAUAUAUGGGUGGAUCGAGAAAGUAUAUAUUAUCAUGCAAAAUUUGAUGUUGAAUAAAAAAUAAUGCAAAGAGAAAUAAGAGAAAAUUUGAAUAGCUGCACAUAAAAAGGAGAAACAUGGCAGAUCGAGUUUGGAACAAUGUUAUCUCUCUUUCUUUCUCUUUUUUUUUUACCAUUUUCACAACUUUUUAAAGUAUGGAAACACGGAGCGCAUAAAGGUUGGGAGCACCAUAUUUGUUCUUCGACGAGGACGACACAUCUCUAUCUUACAUGAGUUUUUUUAUAUGCCCGAAGAGCCUAACUAUCUGAAUAAUGACGUCAUAAAUCAAGGAAAACUAUAUGUAGGCAAUGUA
RNAcentral lists this long non-coding RNA (526 nucleotides) under Setaria viridis. Its description in RNAcentral is "long non-coding RNA (SVIR_LNC005976)". The record is from RNAcentral. Lineage: Eukaryota; Viridiplantae; Streptophyta; Magnoliopsida; Poales; Poaceae.